This 671-nucleotide ribosomal RNA is filed under the name uncultured Lachnospiraceae bacterium. RNAcentral describes it as "bacterial SSU rRNA". It matches the Rfam family "Bacterial small subunit ribosomal RNA", at positions 66 to 736 of the family's 1533-position model. Lineage: Bacteria; Bacillati; Bacillota; Clostridia; Lachnospirales; Lachnospiraceae. The record is from RNAcentral.
ACGAGAAUCACUGGAAGGAGUUUUCGGACAACGGAAGGUGAGGACAGUGGCGGACGGGUGAGUAACGCGUGAGGAACCUGCCUUUCAGAGGGGGACAACAGUUGGAAACGACUGCUAAUACCGCAUGACACAUAGAGAUCGCAUGGUUUUUAUGUCAAAGAUUUAUCGCUGAAAGAUGGCCUCGCGUCUGAUUAGCUAGUUGGUGAGGUAACGGCCCACCAAGGCGACGAUCAGUAGCCGGACUGAGAGGUUGACCGGCCACAUUGGGACUGAGAUACGGCCCAGACUCCUACGGGAGGCAGCAGUGGGGAAUAUUGGGCAAUGGGCGCAAGCCUGACCCAGCAACGCCGCGUGAAGGAAGAAGGCUUUCGGGUUGUAAACUUCUUUUGUCGGGGACGAGUAGAAGACGGUACCUGGCGAAUAAGCCACGGCUAACUACGUGCCAGCAGCCGCGGUAAUACGUAGGUGGCAAGCGUUGUCCGGAUUUACUGGGUGUAAAGGGCGUGUAGCCGGGAAGGCAAGUCAGAUGUGAAAUCCACGGGCUUAACUCGUGAACUGCAUUUGAAACUACUUUUCUUGAGUAUCGGAGAGGCAAUCGGAAUUCCUAGUGUAGCGGUGAAAUGCGUAGAUAUUAGGAGGAACACCAGUGGCGAAGGCGGAUUGCUGGACGA